CGGAGGUUGCAAGCGUUGUUCGGAAUUACUGGGCGUAAAGGGGGCGCAGGCGGUUCGCCAAGUUGAAAGUGGAAGCCCGGGGCUCAACCCCGGAUUGUCUUUCAAUACUAGCGAACUUGAGUUUGGGAGAGGAAAGCGGAAUUCCGGGUGUAGCGGUGAAAUGCGUAGAUAUCCGGAGGAACACCGAUGGCGAAAGCAGCUUUCUGGCCCGAUACUGACGCUCAUGCCCGAAAGCGUGGGGAGCGAACAGGAUUAGAUACCCUGGUAGUCCACGCCGUAAACGUUGUGCACUAGGUGUAGGAGGUGUCGACCCCUUCUGUGCCGCAGCUAACGCAUUAAGUGCACCGCCUGGGGAGUACGGUCGCAAGACUG
RNAcentral lists this ribosomal RNA (372 nucleotides) under uncultured organism. Its description in RNAcentral is "bacterial SSU rRNA". It matches the Rfam family "Bacterial small subunit ribosomal RNA", at positions 526 to 896 of the family's 1533-position model. The record is from RNAcentral.